CAUAGGUUAAUGAGGCGAACCGGGGGAACUGAAACAUCUAAGUACCCCGAGGAAAAGAAAUCAACCGAGAUUCCCCCAGUAGCGGCGAGCGAACGGGGAGGAGCCCAGAGCCUGAAUCAGUGUGUGUGUUAGUGGAAGCGUCUGGAAAGGCGCGCGAUACAGGGUGACAGCCCCGUACACAAAAAUGCACAUACUGUGAGCUCGAUGAGUAGGGCGGGACACGUGGUAUCCUGUCUGAAUAUGGGGGGACCAUCCUCCAAGGCUAAAUACUCCUGACUGACCGAUAGUGAACCAGUACCGUGAGGGAAAGGCGAAAAGAACCCCGGCGAGGGGAGUGAAAAAGAACCUGAAACCGU
RNAcentral lists this ribosomal RNA (356 nucleotides) under Escherichia coli. RNAcentral's name for it is "partial 23S ribosomal RNA". It matches the Rfam family "Bacterial large subunit ribosomal RNA", at positions 165 to 559 of the family's 2925-position model. The record is from RNAcentral. Lineage: Bacteria; Pseudomonadati; Pseudomonadota; Gammaproteobacteria; Enterobacterales; Enterobacteriaceae.